RNAcentral lists this transfer RNA (84 nucleotides) under Micromonospora inositola. RNAcentral's name for it is "tRNA_Tyr_GTA". The record is from RNAcentral. Lineage: Bacteria; Bacillati; Actinomycetota; Actinomycetes; Micromonosporales; Micromonosporaceae.
GGUGGGUUGCAAGCAGGCGGAACGGCAACGCCCUGUAAAUCCGUCGCGAAAGCUACAGAGGUUCGAAUCCUCUACCCGCCACCA